GAUGAAGAACGUAGCGAAAUGCGAUAAGUAGUGUGAAUUGCAGAAUUCAGUGAAUCAUCGAAUCUUUGAACGCACAUUGCGCCCCUUGGUAUUCCAUGGGGCAUGCCUGUUCGAGCGUCAUUUGUACCUUCAAGCUCUGCUUGGUGUUGGGUGUUUGUCUCGCCUCUGCGUGUAGACUCGCCUCAAAACAAUUGGCAGCCGGCGUAUUGAUUUCGGAGCGCAGUACAUCUCGCGCUUUGCACUCAUAACGACGACGUCCAAAAGUACAUUUUUACACUCUUGACCUCGGAUCAGGUAGGGAUACCAGCUGAACUUAAGCAUAUCAAUAAGCGGAGGA
Molecule: unclassified non-coding RNA, 337 nt
Filed under: soil metagenome
Description: partial contains 5.8S ribosomal RNA, internal transcribed spacer 2, and large subunit ribosomal RNA
Rfam family: 5.8S ribosomal RNA (bases 1-120)
Source: RNAcentral